Anguilla anguilla (European eel) is the source of this 716-nucleotide long non-coding RNA. RefSeq lists it as uncharacterized. The transcript has 4 exons. The record is from RefSeq and is a predicted model, not a curated record. NCBI's taxonomy places the organism in Eukaryota, Metazoa, Chordata, Actinopteri, Anguilliformes, Anguillidae.
AUAGGGUAUCAUUUAGAUUUUGACAACACUUUGGCUAAAGCAAUACUUUUGAAACAGUAUGGUGCCUGAAACGUGCCUGAUCCGAUAGUCUAGCUUUAAGUAAAUGAGCAAACGACCACAUUAAAGGACGUAUUUCUUAUUGCAGAGGCACAUCCCAUUGCCAGUUUUGCUUUUGGCACUUUGUCCGAGUUUAACGUUAGCUUGCUUGCUACUUGCUGCCAUUGACUGAGACGACAAUGCGAUUGUAACUCUGGUGAAGACGGCACCCAACCCUAUUCAUUACCGACAACUACAUGACGACAAGGCUGGAGUGGAUUCCAUGAAUUUCCAUGCUACAUACAAAAUGCUCCAAUAUGAAGUUAUGAGGAUAUUUCUCGCCUGAACUGUUGAGAGAACCUUGGUCCAAUGCCCCGUUUAUGCAUGUACCUGCUCAUCGCUACAUCAUCCACUGUCAGUUUGGUAGAAUGCCAACAGGAACACACUCUACUCCAGAACAAUGUCAAGUUGCAGCUUCUUUUCACUUCAGAGUCCACCUGCUGAGCUCACAAUAACAGCAGCUGUGCGCUACCAGAAGGCCAGCUUUAGCUGAGGCUAAGGCAUUUCCUCAUUAUCCCCCUGAUAAUGUUUUUGAACAACGAGUGAGUUGAAUAUAACAUUAAUUUAAUAGCUAGCCAGUUGGUUAGGUAAUUUAAGAUGAUGCCUGUCUUACUUGCUAA